Molecule: ribosomal RNA, 732 nt
Filed under: uncultured Yersinia sp.
Lineage: Bacteria; Pseudomonadati; Pseudomonadota; Gammaproteobacteria; Enterobacterales; Yersiniaceae
Description: bacterial SSU rRNA
Rfam family: Bacterial small subunit ribosomal RNA
Source: RNAcentral
AGAGUUUGAUCCUGGCUCAGAUUGAACGCUGGCGGCAGGCCUAACACAUGCAAGUCGAGCGGCAGCGGGAAGUAGCUUGCUACUUUGCCGGCGAGCGGCGGACGGGUGAGUAAUGUCUGGGAAACUGCCUGAUGGAGGGGGAUAACUACUGGAAACGGUAGCUAAUACCGCAUGACCUCGCAAGAGCAAAGUGGGGGACCUUCGGGCCUCACGCCAUCGGAUGUGCCCAGAUGGGAUUAGCUAGUAGGUGGGGUAAUGGCUCACCUAGGCGACGAUCCCUAGCUGGUCUGAGAGGAUGACCAGCCACACUGGAACUGAGACACGGUCCAGACUCCUACGGGAGGCAGCAGUGGGGAAUAUUGCACAAUGGGCGCAAGCCUGAUGCAGCCAUGCCGCGUGUGUGAAGAAGGCCUUAGGGUUGUAAAGCACUUUCAGCGAGGAGGAAGGGUUCAGUGUUAAUAGCACUGUACAUUGACGUUACUCGCAGAAGAAGCACCGGCUAACUCCGUGCCAGCAGCCGCGGUAAUACGGAGGGUGCAAGCGUUAAUCGGAAUUACUGGGCGUAAAGCGCACGCAGGCGGUUUGUUAAGUCAGAUGUGAAAUCCCCGAGCUUAACUUGGGAACUGCAUUUGAAACUGGCAAGCUAGAGUCUUGUAGAGGGGGGUAGAAUUCCAGGUGUAGCGGUGAAAUGCGUAGAGAUCUGGAGGAAUACCGGUGGCGAAGGCGGCCCCC